This 336-nucleotide ribosomal RNA is filed under the name uncultured Glomeromycotina. RNAcentral's name for it is "eukaryotic LSU rRNA". Lineage: Eukaryota; Fungi; Glomeromycota. The record is from RNAcentral.
UUUGAAAGGGAAACGAUUGAAGUCAGUCGUACCUGCGGGUAAUCAGCCUUUUGGGUGUGAUUAUGUGGAGCGUGAGGAGUUAAACACCCUCAUCUUUGCAUAUUCGUGCACUUUGGGUGUGCUUGCUCGUGUGGUAGGUUAACAUCAAUUUUGAUCGUCAUAAAAUGGCUAGAGGAAUGUAGCUUCGAUCUCGUAUUGAAGUGUUAUAGCCUUUGGUAGAUGUGAUGAUUAGGAUUGAGGAUUGCAACGGAUACCCUUCGGGGCUACCUGCCUGAUCUCUGAAAGUUGCUCUGGUGCUGAAAGCUUGCUUAUGGUAUCAAAGUGACGUCAAUAGUG